RNAcentral lists this ribosomal RNA (253 nucleotides) under uncultured bacterium. Its description in RNAcentral is "partial 16S ribosomal RNA". It matches the Rfam family "Bacterial small subunit ribosomal RNA", at positions 524 to 776 of the family's 1533-position model. The record is from RNAcentral.
UACGGAGGGUGCAAACGUUGCUCGGAAUCACUGGGCGUAAAGCGCACGUAGGCGGCCUUGUAAGUUGGAUGUGAAAGCCCUGGGCUCAACCCAGGAAGUGCAUCCAAAACUGCAUGGCUUGAGUACCGGAGGGGUUCAGAGAAUUCCCGGUGUAGAGGUGAAAUUCGUAGAGAUCGGGAGGAACAUCAGUUGCGAAGGCGGCUCUCUGGACCAGCACUGACACUGAGGCACGAAAGCGUGGGGAGCAAACAGG